Molecule: ribosomal RNA, 445 nt
Filed under: uncultured bacterium
Lineage: Bacteria
Description: partial 16S ribosomal RNA
Rfam family: Bacterial small subunit ribosomal RNA
Source: RNAcentral
CCAGACUCCUACGGGAGGCAGCAGUGGGGAAUAUUGCACAAUGGGGGAAACCCUGAUGCAGCAACGCCGCGUGAGUGAAGAAGUAUUUCGGUAUGUAAAGCUCUAUCAGCAGGGAAGAAGAAGGACGGUACCUGACUAAGAAGCCCCGGCUAACUACGUGCCAGCAGCCGCGGUAAUACGUAGGGGGCGAGCGUUAUCCGGAUUUACUGGGUGUAAAGGGAGCGUAGACGGUUAAUCAAGUCUGAAGUGAAAGCCCGCGGCUCAACUGCGGAACGGCUUUGGAAACUGAGUAACUGGAGUGCUGGAGGGGCAGGCGGAAUUCCUGGUGUAGCGGUGAAAUGCGUAGAUAUCAGGAGGAACACCGGUGGCGAAGGCGGCCUGCUGGACCGCUACUGACGUUGAGGCUCGAAAGCGUGGGGAGCGAACAGGAUUAGAUACCCUCGUA